RNAcentral lists this ribosomal RNA (253 nucleotides) under uncultured bacterium. Its description in RNAcentral is "partial 16S ribosomal RNA". It matches the Rfam family "Bacterial small subunit ribosomal RNA", at positions 524 to 776 of the family's 1533-position model. The record is from RNAcentral.
UACAGAGGUCUCAAGCGUUGUUCGGAUUCAUUGGGCGUAAAGGGUGCAUAGGUGGCGAGGUAAGUCAGGUGUGAAAUCUCGAGGCUCAACUUCGAAACUGCACUUGAUACUGCCCUGCUAGAGUACUGGAGAGGAGAUUGGAAUUUACGGUGUAGCAGUGAAAUGCGUAGAUAUCGUAAGGAAGACCAGUGGCGAAGGCGGGUCUCUGGACAGUUCCUGACGCUGAGGCACGAAGGCCAGGGGAGCAAACGGG